GAAAUUGAAAAACCCACCAACAGAAUACUCAUUCAUCGAGUGUGAGCAUUGAAACUUAUUUGUCUCUUCCAGAUUAAGUGGACCCUUUGAGAUGGUUAGCAACAAGGGUCCUAAGCGGAGAAAGAACAACAAACACAACCAUCGAAUGUCGCAUAAAGGUUAUGCAAACCUCGUUGAAAAGAUGCUAAGCCUUUGGAAUAGUAUAUAUGAGUUUUAAUAAUGCUACAUGUAAUGUGGUAUAACUAACCAUAAUGUAAUUUCCUUUGGUCAGAAAGCAAACAGAUUUAGUAGUGGAGUAGUUGAUCGUGCUUUAGUAUGGAAGAAAGCACGAACAACCAAAGAUGGGGAAAUUUUGGACAAAGACACAAUGGAGGUGGCUGAUCGAAUCGUAAGACGACCUACUUGUUUUAAGUCGUGUGACUUAUUCAACGGAUAACGUAACUUCAAACAUCCUAACACAAGCUAUCGAAGGGCAUGAUCCACGGGGCAGGAUUCCAGGGGUGGGUCUGAUGUCACGUUGAGUAAAUACUUCACACUGCUAGAGAGAAACAGAAGAAAGUCAGUAAAGAAGAAGAUUACGUUGAAGAACGAGCGAGAACGACAACUCUUAUCUUAUAGUUGGGUGAUUUGUACGGAUGGUCUCCGUUAAAGGCCAAAAUAAGAAACAACCAAAAUUUGAAAGUUGUAUGAAAAGUGGCCUCUUGCUUGCCUGUAAACCCUAGACUUCGUUAUUGUUGAGUUUUUGGCAAAACACUAAAGGUGCUGUUGUUCCACAUGGUUUAUUUUGUAGAAAGGUAAGUGGCUUCAAGCAAGGAACCCACCUCCCUUAUUUACAAAUGUCUAAGUUAGAAAGACUUUAAACUUUAGUGUGCUAGCUCUAAUUAAAUUAUUUUUGUACUCUCUAGCUGGAGAGUGGGAGAAAGGUGAGUAUUCAAAAGCUUUGAGAGAGUGUUUUUGUAAUUAGGGUAGGGAGAGAGAAACUUAUUCUUUAUGAUUGUAACAUAUUUUCACAUAGUGGAUUUCUUUAUCAUUUGUGGUU
Cucumis melo (muskmelon) is the source of this 1039-nucleotide long non-coding RNA. RefSeq lists it as uncharacterized. NCBI's taxonomy places the organism in Eukaryota, Viridiplantae, Streptophyta, Magnoliopsida, Cucurbitales, Cucurbitaceae. The record is from RefSeq and is a predicted model, not a curated record. The transcript is spliced from 3 exons.